AUGGCUGAGUACAUUGACAUUGUCAGCGAGAUGUUUGAUAGCGAUGAUGAAGGUUUUGAGUUCUAUAACAAGUAUGCUCUUGAGAAAGGAUUUAGUGUGAGGAAAGGCUAUGUUGAGUGGGAUGAAGCGAAUGUGAAGAUAAUUCCGAGGAAACUUGUCUGUAGUCGUGAAGGUUGGCGUGAAGACAAGCACAUGAAGAGAAAGAAAGAAGAUAGGAAUAGGAAGCCACGGAAAGAAUCAGUGGCGAGUAGAAAGCGGACAUUAUAA
This 267-nucleotide ribosomal RNA is filed under the name Triticum aestivum (bread wheat). RNAcentral's name for it is "partial small subunit ribosomal RNA". The record is from RNAcentral. Lineage: Eukaryota; Viridiplantae; Streptophyta; Magnoliopsida; Poales; Poaceae.